This 54-nucleotide transfer RNA is filed under the name Bacillus subtilis. RNAcentral's name for it is "tRNA-Und (NNN) (tRNA-Und-NNN-3-1)". It matches the Rfam family "tRNA", at positions 19 to 71 of the family's 71-position model. Rfam says of the family: Transfer RNA (tRNA) molecules are approximately 80 nucleotides in length. Their secondary structure includes four short double-helical elements and three loops (D, anti-codon, and T loops). Lineage: Bacteria; Bacillati; Bacillota; Bacilli; Caryophanales; Bacillaceae. The record is from RNAcentral.
NAGAGCGCCUGCUUUGCACGCAGGAGGUCAGCGGUUCGAUCCCGCUAGGCUCCA